GGGGACAUAGCUCAGUGGUAGAGUGCUUGCCUUGCAUGCACAAGGCCCUGGGUUCAAUUCAUAGCCCCCCCC
Molecule: transfer RNA, 72 nt
Filed under: Urocitellus parryii (Arctic ground squirrel)
Lineage: Eukaryota; Metazoa; Chordata; Mammalia; Rodentia; Sciuridae
Also listed under: 1 other name
Description: Spermophilus parryii (Arctic ground squirrel) tRNA
Rfam family: tRNA
About the family: Transfer RNA (tRNA) molecules are approximately 80 nucleotides in length.
Source: Rfam by way of RNAcentral